RNAcentral lists this ribosomal RNA (429 nucleotides) under Acidobacteriota bacterium. Its description in RNAcentral is "Acidobacteria bacterium partial 16S ribosomal RNA". It matches the Rfam family "Bacterial small subunit ribosomal RNA", at positions 355 to 776 of the family's 1533-position model. Lineage: Bacteria; Pseudomonadati; Acidobacteriota. The record is from RNAcentral.
UGGGGAAUUUUGGACAAUGGGGGAAACCCUGAUCCAGCCAUCCCGCGUGUGCGAUGAAGGCCUUCGGGUUGUAAAGCACUUUUGGCAGGAAAGAAACGUCAUGGGUUAAUACCCCGUGAAACUGACGGUACCUGCAGAAUAAGCACCGGCUAACUACGUGCCAGCAGCCGCGGUAAUACGUAGGGUGCAAGCGUUAAUCGGAAUUACUGGGCGUAAAGCGUGCGCAGGCGGUUCGGAAAGAAAGAUGUGAAAUCCCAGAGCUCAACUUUGGAACUGCAUUUUUAACUACCGGGCUAGAGUGUGUCAGAGGGAGGUGGAAUUCCGCGUGUGGCAGUGAAAUGCGUAGAUAUGCGGAGGAACACAGAUGGCGAAGGCAGCCUCCUGGGAUAACACUGACGCUAAUGCACGAAAGCGUGGGGAGCAAACAGG